CCAAACUUGGUCAUUUAGAGGAAGUAAAAGUCGUAACAAGGUUUCCGUAGGUGAACCUGCGGAAGGAUCAUUACUGAAUAAACUUGGUUGGGUUGUUGCUGGCUCUUAUGAGCAUGUGCACGCCUCAUCCAUUUUUAACCACCUGUGCACCUUGUGUAGACUGGGAACUCUCGAGGAGAAACCACUCCUCGGUCUGAGAAUUGCUGUGUGAAAGCCAGCUGUCUCGUUCCUCAGUUCUAUGUCCUUAUACACACCCCAUAAGAAUGUACUAGAAUGUUGUAAAUGGCCUGUUGUGCCUUAUAAAACAAAUACAACUUUCAACAACGGAUCUCUUGGCUCUCGCAUCGAUGAAGAACGCAGC
This 361-nucleotide unclassified non-coding RNA is filed under the name uncultured fungus. RNAcentral describes it as "partial contains small subunit ribosomal RNA, internal transcribed spacer 1, and 5.8S ribosomal RNA". The stretch from base 1 to 73 matches the Rfam family "Eukaryotic small subunit ribosomal RNA", at positions 1759 to 1831 of the family's 1831-position model. Lineage: Eukaryota; Fungi. The record is from RNAcentral.